UGAACUGGGAUAUGAAGUCCAAGUGACGAA
Molecule: small RNA, 30 nt
Filed under: Bombyx mori (domestic silkworm)
Lineage: Eukaryota; Metazoa; Arthropoda; Insecta; Lepidoptera; Bombycidae
Description: ovarian small RNA-3537
Source: RNAcentral